RNAcentral lists this ribosomal RNA (253 nucleotides) under uncultured bacterium. RNAcentral's name for it is "partial 16S ribosomal RNA". It matches the Rfam family "Bacterial small subunit ribosomal RNA", at positions 524 to 776 of the family's 1533-position model. The record is from RNAcentral.
UACGAAGGGGGCUAGCGUUGUUCGGAAUUACUGGGCGUAAAGCGCACGUAGGCGGAUUGUUAAGUUAGGGGUGAAAUCCCGGGGCUCAACCCCGGAACUGCCUUUAAUACUGGCAAUCUCGAGUCCGAGAGAGGUGAGUGGAAUUCCGAGUGUAGAGGUGAAAUUCGUAGAUAUUCGGAGGAACACCAGUGGCGAAGGCGGCUCACUGGCUCGGUACUGACGCUGAGGUGCGAAAGCGUGGGGAGCGAACAGG